Molecule: RNA transcript, 1695 nt
Organism: Aegilops tauschii subsp. strangulata
Lineage: Eukaryota; Viridiplantae; Streptophyta; Magnoliopsida; Poales; Poaceae
Source: RefSeq, a predicted model, not a curated record
GGUCAUUCCUCGGCCUCCAUUUUUUUGUUGCGAUAACCACGCAGCCACCGCCGCCGCCGCUCGUUCCAAUCUCCUCGCCGCCGCCAUGCUCCGGCUCCGGCGCUGCGUCCUCACUCAGCUCCUCUCGUUUCCCUCCGCCUCUCCCACCUCCCAGAUCCACCGCCUCAUCUCCGCCGCAGCGCCCGCCCCUAGCUUCGCCGUGCAGGACUACCUCGUCGCCAGCUGCGGCCUCUCCCGAGCGCAGGCACUCAAGGCCUCCACCAAGCUCUCCCACCUCAAAUCCCCCACCAAGCCCGACGCCGUGCUCUCCUUCCUCGCCGGCCACGGCUUCUCCAGCUCCGACGUCGCCGCCGUCGUCGCGGGAGACCCCAAGGUACUCUGCUCCAGAGUGGAGGGAUACCUUGUCCCCGUCGUCGCCCAGCUCACCGGCCUCGGCCUCUCGCGUUCUCAGGUCGCGCGCCUCAUCUCCUACUGCCAAGGCAACUUACAUCUCACAUCCAUCGUCUCCAAGCUGCAGUACUACCUGCCCCUCUUCGGUUCCAUCGACAACACCCUUCGAGUUCUCAAGCGCGGCUUUUACCUUAUCUCGUCUGAUCUUGAGAGGGUGGUCAAGCCCAAUGUCGCAACCCUGCGGGACUCGGGGCUGGGUGAUUGCGACAUUGCCAAGCUGUGCAUCCGUAAUCCAUGGCUGCUCACAACCAAUGUAGAAUCCAUCCGGGCAAUGGUGUCAUGCGCUGAAAGUCUUGGUGUGCCCCGUGGAUCUCGGAUGUUCAGGCAUGCCGUGUCUGCUGUUGCGUACCUCAGCGAGGAGAAGAUCGCCGCUAAAGCGGGGUACUUGAAGAAGACCUUUAGGUGGUCAGAUGCCGAGGUCAGCAUUGCUGUGUCCAAGCAUCCAAUCUUGCUGACAAGGUCUAAGGACUUUCUGCGGAGCAGAUCAGAGUUCCUCAUCUCUGAGGUGGGGCUGGAACCGGCAUACAUUGCUCAUCGUCCGGUAUUGCUCUCUUACAGCCUGGAGGGUCGUCUCAGGCCCCGGUACUAUGUUGUAAAGUUUCUCAAGGAAAAUGAAUUGCUAGAUUGCGACCGGGACUACUAUUCUGCAGUAAUGCGGACCGAGAAGGUAUUCAUGGAGAAGUACAUAUGCCCUCACAUGGAAGCUGCACCGCACCUCGCUGAAGACUAUGCGGAAGCUUGCAGAGCAUUUGGAUGCCAUUGUACAGAUAAUGCGUCUCUGCCCCCAUUCAUUGUUUGAAGGUGACUUGUGAUGACUAUUGGAUGUCGUUCAAUUGCUUUUCAAGCACGCCCAUCAUCUUUUUGUGCUAUGAUGAAGCAGGUUGAGGAUAUUGUCCAUGCAAUGAUAUAGGCUUGCUUGCAGGAACCCAUGUCAGGGAGGUGACCGAUAGGUGAUAGCAUAAUCUGAUCUUCUCAAGAACCGUACUUCAUUCAGCUGCAAGACAAAGCAGAUUGCUUUAGGUUCUUAGGUGCUAUAAUAUCGAAUAAAUGUCCUAUUAGUUUACAGGAUCACAUAUUUUUAGGUUUUUAAUGCAGUUCAUGAUGAAACAGCUGGAGCUUAUCAGGAUAAUUUUUUGAUAUAUACUAUUACCUAACUGACAUGGUUUUAGUUCAAAUAUGAACUAAAACCGCGUCAGUUAUUUCCGAACGGGUGGAGUAUCAUUUAUACUAAUUUAUAUUAAUACU